UCAAGCUUAAAAGGGCGCAAGGGGGAUGCCUUGGCAUUGGUAGCCGAUGAAGGACGUAGCGAUCUACGAUAAGCCACGGGAAGUCGAAAGCAGGCAAUGAUCCGUGGAUUUCCGAAUGGGGAAACCCGGCAGAGCAAUACUCUGUCAACUCCUUGUGAAUAAAAUAGCAUUGAGUAGGGAACCUCCUGAACUGAAACAUCUAAGUAGGGAGAGGAAAAGAAAUCAACCGAGAUUCCGCUAGUAGUGGCGAGCGAACGCGGAAGAGGCCAAACCAAGAGUAGUAAUACUUUUGGGGUUCGGACUGAGUACGGUAUUGACAAGAGUUAGUAGAAUGGAAUGGGAAGUUCAACCAUAGAGUGUGAGAGUCACGUAUACGAAAACUUAAGUCAGCCAUCAGUAUCCAGAGUACCGCCGGACACGUGAAACCCGGUGGGAAUACGGGGGGACCACCCUCCAAGCCUAAAUACUCACCAAUGACCGAUAGUGUAUAGUACUGUGAAGGAAAGGUGAAAAGAACCCCUGGCGGGGAGUGAAAAAGAACCUGAAACCUUGUGCCUACAAGCACAUAGAGCACAUCAACGUGUGAUAUGGUACCUUUUGUAGAAUGGUCCGGCGAGUGAAUGUCACUAGCGAGGUUAAGAACUUAAGGUUUGCAGCCGAAGCGAAAGCGAGUCUUAAUAGGGCGAGUUUAGUUAGUGGUAUUCGACCCGAAACCGAGUGACCUAGCCAUGAGCAGGCUGAAGUGGAGGUAAAACUCCAUGGAGGGCCGAACCCACUCCCGUUGAAAUGGUAGGGGAUGACUUGUGGCUAGCGGAGAAAUUCCAAUCGAACUCGGAGAUAGCUGGUUCUCUCCGAAAUAGCUUUAGGGCUAGCCUCAAUUAACAUUACCGCAGGUAAAGCACUGAAUGGGCUAGGGGGCGAAAGCUUACUGAACCCUAUCAAACUCAGAAUGGCGGAUAAUGAAUAAUUGGGAGUCACACUACGUGAGAUAAGUUUCGUGGUGGAAAGGGAAACAGCCCAGACCCACAGCUAAGGUCCCAAAGUACAGUUAAGUGGAAAAGGAUGUGAAGUUGCGCAGACAACCAGGAUGUUGGCUCAGAAGCAGCCACUCAUUCAAAGAGUGCGUAAUAGCUCACUGGUCGAGUGAUUUUGCGCCGAAAAUUUAACGGGGCUAAACUGUACACCGAAGCUUGGGAAUAUACCUUAUGGUAUGUUGGUAGGAGAGCGUCGUAUGCGGGGUGAAGUCGUAGCGAAAGCGGCGGUGGACUGCAUAGGAGUGAGAAUGCCGGAAUGAGUAGCGAGAAUUAUGUGAGAAUCAUAAUGGCCGAAAGACUAAGGUUUUAGAAGGAAGGUUCGUCCGCUUCUAGUUAGCCGGGAGCUAAGGCGAGGCCGAAAGGCGUAGUCGAUGCACAUACGGUUGAGAUUCCGUAGCCACCUUAAAUUUAAACUAAGGGACACAUUGAAAGGGAAUAACCCAGGCGUUGGUUGACCUGGGCGUAAGGGAACGAAAAUAAGUAGUGAAGUAUUCUUGGACAGUGGCGAGAAAAGCUUAGUGUAUAUUAUUAGGGUGCCCGUACUGCAAACCGACACAGGUAGUCAGGAAGAGAAUUCUAAGGCCAUCGGGAGAAGCGUUGUUAAGGAACUCGGCAAAUUGACCCCGUAACUUCGGAAUAAGGGGUGCUCACGAGAGUGAGCCGCAGUGAAUAGGUCCAGGCAACUGUUUAUCAAAAACACAGCUCUCUGCUAAAUCGUAAGAUGACGUAUAGGGGGUGACACCUGCCCGGUGCUGGAAGGUUAAGAGGAGGAGUGCAAGCCCCGAAUCGAAGCCCCAGUAAACGGCGGCCGUAACUAUAACGGUCCUAAGGUAGCGAAAUUCCUUGUCGGGUAAGUUCCG
RNAcentral lists this ribosomal RNA (1894 nucleotides) under human gut metagenome. RNAcentral's name for it is "bacterial LSU rRNA". It matches the Rfam family "Bacterial large subunit ribosomal RNA", at positions 3 to 1985 of the family's 2925-position model. The record is from RNAcentral.